UACGGGGGGGGCGAGCGUUGUCCGAAGUUACUGGGCGUAAAGCGCGUGUAGGCGGGUUGUUAAGUCCGCUGUGAAAGCCCGGUGCUCAACGCCGGAGGGUCGGUGGAUACUGGCAGUCUUGAAGUGGCUAGGGGGAAAUGGAAUUACCGGUGUAGCGGUGAAAUGCGUAGAUAUCGGUAGGAACACCAGUGGCGAAGGCGGUUUCCUGGAGCCCACUUGACGCUGAGACGCGAAAGCUGGGGGAGCGAACGGG
Molecule: ribosomal RNA, 253 nt
Filed under: uncultured bacterium
Lineage: Bacteria
Description: partial 16S ribosomal RNA
Rfam family: Bacterial small subunit ribosomal RNA
Source: RNAcentral